GGCUUAGAGUUUGAUCAUGGCUCAGGAUGAACGCUGGCGGCGUGCCUAACACAUGCAAGUCGAACGAAGCACCUUGAGAGAUUCUUCGGAUGAUCUUAUGGUGACUGAGUGGCGGACGGGUGAGUAACGCGUGGGUAACCUGCCCUGUACAGGGGGAUAACAGCUAGAAAUGGCUGCUAAUACCGCAUAAGCGCACAGGAAGACAUCUUCCAGUGUGAAAAACUCCGGUGGUACAGGAUGGGCCCGCGUCUGAUUAGCUUGUUGGCGGGGUAAGGGCCCACCAAGGCGACGAUCAGUAGCCGGUCUGAGAGGAUGAACGGCCACAUUGGAACUGAGACACGGUCCAAACUCCUACGGGAGGCAGCAGUGGGGAAUAUUGCACAAUGGGGGGAACCCUGAUGCAGCAACGCCGCGUGAGUGAAGAAGUAUUUCGGUAUGUAAAGCUCUAUCAGCAGGGAAGAUAAUGACGGUACCUGACUAAGAAGCUCCGGCUAAAUACGUGCCAGCAGCCGCGGUAAUACGUAUGGAGCAAGCGUUAUCCGGAUUUACUGGGUGUAAAGGGUGCGUAGGCGGCGCGGCAAGUCAGAUGUGAAAGACCGGGGCUCAACCCCGGGGCUGCAUUUGAAACUGCGGUGCUCGAGUCCAGGAGAGGCAGGCG
Molecule: ribosomal RNA, 658 nt
Filed under: uncultured organism
Description: bacterial SSU rRNA
Rfam family: Bacterial small subunit ribosomal RNA
Source: RNAcentral